UACAGAGGGUGCGAGCGUUAAUCGGAUUUACUGGGCGUAAAGGGCGCGUAGGCGGCGUGACAAGUCACUUGUGAAAUCUCCGGGCUUAACCCGGAGCGGCCAAGUGAUACUGUCGUGCUAGAGUGCGGAAGGGGCUACUGGAAUUCUCGGUGUAGCGGUGAAAUGCGUAGAUAUCGAGAGGAACACCUGCGGCGAAGGCGGGUAGCUGGGCCGACACUGACGCUGAGGCGCGAAAGCCAGGGGAGCGAACGGG
This 253-nucleotide ribosomal RNA is filed under the name uncultured bacterium. Its description in RNAcentral is "partial 16S ribosomal RNA". It matches the Rfam family "Bacterial small subunit ribosomal RNA", at positions 524 to 776 of the family's 1533-position model. The record is from RNAcentral.